This 1287-nucleotide ribosomal RNA is filed under the name Bacillus safensis. Its description in RNAcentral is "bacterial SSU rRNA". It matches the Rfam family "Bacterial small subunit ribosomal RNA", at positions 72 to 1345 of the family's 1533-position model. The record is from RNAcentral. Lineage: Bacteria; Bacillati; Bacillota; Bacilli; Caryophanales; Bacillaceae.
AAGGGAGCUUGCUCCCGGAUGUUAGCGGCGGACGGGUGAGUAACACGUGGGUAACCUGCCUGUAAGACUGGGAUAACUCCGGGAAACCGGAGCUAAUACCGGAUAGUUCCUUGAACCGCAUGGUUCAAGGAUGAAAGACGGUUUCGGCUGUCACUUACAGAUGGACCCGCGGCGCAUUAGCUAGUUGGUGGGGUAAUGGCUCACCAAGGCGACGAUGCGUAGCCGACCUGAGAGGGUGAUCGGCCACACUGGGACUGAGACACGGCCCAGACUCCUACGGGAGGCAGCAGUAGGGAAUCUUCCGCAAUGGACGAAAGUCUGACGGAGCAACGCCGCGUGAGUGAUGAAGGUUUUCGGAUCGUAAAGCUCUGUUGUUAGGGAAGAACAAGUGCGAGAGUAACUGCUCGCACCUUGACGGUACCUAACCAGAAAGCCACGGCUAACUACGUGCCAGCAGCCGCGGUAAUACGUAGGUGGCAAGCGUUGUCCGGAAUUAUUGGGCGUAAAGGGCUCGCAGGCGGUUUCUUAAGUCUGAUGUGAAAGCCCCCGGCUCAACCGGGGAGGGUCAUUGGAAACUGGGAAACUUGAGUGCAGAAGAGGAGAGUGGAAUUCCACGUGUAGCGGUGAAAUGCGUAGAGAUGUGGAGGAACACCAGUGGCGAAGGCGACUCUCUGGUCUGUAACUGACGCUGAGGAGCGAAAGCGUGGGGAGCGAACAGGAUUAGAUACCCUGGUAGUCCACGCCGUAAACGAUGAGUGCUAAGUGUUAGGGGGUUUCCGCCCCUUAGUGCUGCAGCUAACGCAUUAAGCACUCCGCCUGGGGAGUACGGUCGCAAGACUGAAACUCAAAGGAAUUGACGGGGGCCCGCACAAGCGGUGGAGCAUGUGGUUUAAUUCGAAGCAACGCGAAGAACCUUACCAGGUCUUGACAUCCUCUGACAACCCUAGAGAUAGGGCUUUCCCUUCGGGGACAGAGUGACAGGUGGUGCAUGGUUGUCGUCAGCUCGUGUCGUGAGAUGUUGGGUUAAGUCCCGCAACGAGCGCAACCCUUGAUCUUAGUUGCCAGCAUUCAGUUGGGCACUCUAAGGUGACUGCCGGUGACAAACCGGAGGAAGGUGGGGAUGACGUCAAAUCAUCAUGCCCCUUAUGACCUGGGCUACACACGUGCUACAAUGGACAGAACAAAGGGCUGCAAGACCGCAAGGUUUAGCCAAUCCCAUAAAUCUGUUCUCAGUUCGGAUCGCAGUCUGCAACUCGACUGCGUGAAGCUGGAAUCGCUAGUAAUCGC